AAACCAACAGGGAUUGCCUUAGUAACGGCGAGUGAAGCGGCAAAAGCUCAAAUUUGAAAUCUAGUACCUUCGGUGCUCGAGUUGUAAUUUGAAGGAGUUUUUCUGGUGCUGGCCCUUGUCUAUGUUCCUUGGAACAGGACGUCAUAGAGGGUGAGAAUCCCGUCUGAUGGGGUGUCCAGUGCUUUGUAGAUUUUCUCCGAAGAGUCGAGUUGUUUGGGAAUGCAGCUCUAAGUGGGUGGUAAAUUCCAUCUAAAGCUAAAUAUUGGCGAGAGACCGAUAGCGAACAAGUACAGUGAUGGAAAGAUGAAAAGAACUUUGAAAAGAGAGUGAAAAAGUACGUGAAAUUGUUGAAAGGGAAGGGUAUUAGAUCAGACUUGGUGUUUUGUGAUUAUCUUCCCUUCUUGGGUUGUGCACUCGCAUCUCACUGGGCCAACAUCGGUUCGGAUGGCAGGAUAAUGACUUGGGAACGUGGCUCUCCUUCGGGUGAGUGUUAUAGCCCUUGUUGAUACUGCCUAUCUGGACCGAGGACUGCGGCUUUUGCCUAGGAUGUUGGCGUAAUGAUCUAAUACCGCCCG
Molecule: ribosomal RNA, 575 nt
Filed under: [Candida] sp. DMKU-EB5-1
Lineage: Eukaryota; Fungi; Ascomycota; Saccharomycetes; Saccharomycetales
Description: Candida sp. DMKU-EB5-1 partial 26S ribosomal RNA
Rfam family: Eukaryotic large subunit ribosomal RNA
Source: RNAcentral